This 1213-nucleotide long non-coding RNA is filed under the name Sorghum bicolor (sorghum). RNAcentral describes it as "long non-coding RNA (SBIC_LNC014937)". The record is from RNAcentral. Lineage: Eukaryota; Viridiplantae; Streptophyta; Magnoliopsida; Poales; Poaceae.
AUACCGCUGAAGUUGUACUGAAAAUUAAGGCGUAAAGUUCCGAGGAACAUGUAUUAAUAAAAUGGUUCCAUCACAUGAAGUUGAAUUUACUUAAACCAUGCAGUAUUUAAUAUUAUGGCCCAUUUUGGAUCCUUGGAAUUUAAUUUAUUUUAAUAGUCAUAAUUUAGAUACAUAUUAAUUAAGCUAUAUGGCUCUAUAUGGGUUAUAUUUCUAUAUUAUUGUUCACUUCCAUGAGAGAUACGUAUGCAUUACAUUUCAACCAUAGGUGAGUGAGUUGAAGAGCGUGUUAUAAGUUGCAAAGUAAAAACAUAGAAUGGUGCUCUAUUAAAUUAUUUUUCAUCUCGCACCAUAUGAAUUUGAGAAAGGUUUAUAUGUGAACACCGGAAAGUGGUGGAAUAUUAAAUUCCAAGCCAAAUAGUCUAACUUAUUAAGUAGAUUUUAAUUCCUCAAAAUGAAGAGAUCCAAACGGCCCCUGUGUAUUAUGUUAUCCUUACUGUACAUCCAGCACUGCAUGGUGUAUCAUCACACUGCAGCUCAGGCUGGCCGUCCUCUAUAUGCCUUGAAACCAAAUAGUACUUCAUAUGCCGUCGGGUGCUGAUCAGAUCAGCAGAAACAUUAGGUGUUGAGGGAGGCAGAGAAUGUUUCUGCUUCUAGCUUCAAAAAGUUUUCGUGAUUUCUCAUUCCAAAUAAAUUUUCCAUAGGGAUGGAAGGUCUCAGGAUUAUAUGGGAUAUGACAUCUAAGUAUCACACAAACGGCGGCUCCAUUGUAUAGGCCUGACUCCAAGAUUGCAACAAGUAUUUAUCGAGCUCAGAUGGAAGUCUAUGGGUUUCUUUCCCUUUGUUACCUGCAGCCCUACUACUACUGGGAGCCCCCAGGAAAUCACCGCUCAGGGCCUCAAAGAAACUCUCUCAAUAGGAGGCCCAGUACGUGGGUGAGUUUGCCCGUGCACCAAAUGGGGGUCAAGAUCCAGUGUACCGUAGACAUUCUAGAUUAGCUGUUGAUGGAUGUAAUACCCGAUUUUUUUAAGAACAAAACCAGAUAUGCACCAUAUGUGAGUCUUAGAAGUUAAAUCUCACAUAUAGCUAUAAAUAAGGGGUAAUAUCAAAAGACAACGCAUAAAUAUAUAAUGUACUUAGUAUAAAAGAGAUAACCUUAUAUAGCAAACAACGGAUAAAUAACUCCAACUUUGGGUAUUAACUCCACUCUACAAGA